UUAUUCUUUCCCAUUAUUAGUUUCAUUUCCUUCCUUUCCCAUUUACCCUCUUAAUUCAACAAACAUUACUAUAUCAAUUUAUUUUUUCCAAUUUAAAUCUUUACUUCUCUUCUACUAUUCUAUUUCUCCUAUAUAUAUAUAUAAUAGCGUCAAUUAUCAACGUAAAAUUUCAACCAGUCGAAUGUCUCCGUUAUUCUGAUGGACAACGAGUUCUCCUAAAAAAUUUCAGGAGUCUGAAAGCCUCAUCGCCAAACGAAUUCUUCCUCUAAAGUUUAAAACCCACCAUGAGGAGCUCGAUGACGCAAGAAUUGUCACUACUCUCUACACAUCUAUGUGCGUCCGGGCCGCCUACUAUUUUGGAAAAGAAAACCCUAACCCCAUACUGAGACAGGAAAGAAAUCUAUACUUUUCAACUCGGUGGUUGUCACAUUGUGGAAUAUUUGGAUUGAAAGAAAUAUAAUAGAAUCUUCAAGGGGCUGGAAAAAUAUCUCACUGAGAUUUUGGAAGAUAUCAAAGCUCUUCCAGGCCAUUAGACAAUCACAUCUUUUUAAAGAUUGUUCAGUAGCUCUAUUGUUCUUAAUAUUUAUGAUUUUGUUUAAUUGUAUAGACGUGUGGGUUUUUGUUGGGGUUUCCUCUAUCCCUUGUUUUUGUUUACUUCUUGCUUCCUAUACUAUCUUGGUUUAUAUUAUAAAUGUGGAAGAUGAUGGUGCUAUGAAUAUGUUCAUCUAAUUGGAAAUGUCCUAUUGUACCUGUCGAUCCAUCUCAAAUUUUGAAAAAAAAAAGAGAGAAUCAUUAAUAUUCUCACAAUCAU
This is a long non-coding RNA of Cucumis sativus (cucumber), 811 nucleotides long. RefSeq lists it as uncharacterized. NCBI's taxonomy places the organism in Eukaryota, Viridiplantae, Streptophyta, Magnoliopsida, Cucurbitales, Cucurbitaceae. The transcript has 2 exons. The record is from RefSeq and is a predicted model, not a curated record.